UACGGACUUAAAAUCCGUCGAUUUUCGAAAUCGUGA
RNAcentral lists this transfer RNA (36 nucleotides) under Turnera chamaedrifolia. RNAcentral's name for it is "partial tRNA-Leu". Lineage: Eukaryota; Viridiplantae; Streptophyta; Magnoliopsida; Malpighiales; Passifloraceae. The record is from RNAcentral.